UUGCUGAGCGUGCUCCUGAACUGCAGCAGCGUGGACCUGGGACCCACCCUGAGUCGCAUGAAGGACUUCACCAAGGGUUUCAGCCCUGAGAGCAAAGGAUAUGCGAUUGGCAAUGCCCCGGAGUUGGCCAAGGCCCAUAAUAGCCAUGCCAGGUGCCCGAGCCACGCCACCUCCCUGAGAAGCAGAAUGGCCUUAGUGCAGUGCGGACCAUGGAGGCGUUCCACUUUGUCAGCUAUGUGCCUAUCACAGGCCGGCUCUUUGAGCUGGAUGGGCUGAAGGUCUACCCCAUUGA
RNAcentral lists this long non-coding RNA (292 nucleotides) under Homo sapiens (human). RNAcentral's name for it is "HSALNT0054671". The record is from RNAcentral. Lineage: Eukaryota; Metazoa; Chordata; Mammalia; Primates; Hominidae.